RNAcentral lists this ribosomal RNA (427 nucleotides) under uncultured bacterium. RNAcentral's name for it is "bacterial SSU rRNA". It matches the Rfam family "Bacterial small subunit ribosomal RNA", at positions 355 to 775 of the family's 1533-position model. The record is from RNAcentral.
UCGAGAAUUUUUCCCAAUGGGCGAAAGCCUGAGGGAGCGACGCCGCGUGGAGGAUGAAGGUCUUCGGAUUGUAAACUCCUGUCAUUCGGGAACAAUGGUUGCCGGUUAACUGCCGGCAGCUUGAUAGUACCGGAAGAGGAAGGGACGGCUAACUCUGUGCCAGCAGCCGCGGUAAUACAGAGGUCCCAAGCGUUGUUCGGAAUCACUGGGCGUAAAGGGUGCGUAGGCGGCGGGGUAAGUCGGAUGUGAAAUCUCGGGGCUCAACCCCGAAACUGCAUUCGAUACUGCCUCGCUCGAGGACUGGAGAGGAGACUGGAAUUUACGGUGUAGCAGUGAAAUGCGUAGAUAUCGUAAGGAAGGCCGGUGGCGAAAGCGGGUCUCUGGACAGUUCCUGACGCUGAGGCACGAAGGCCAGGGGAGCAAACGG